Molecule: long non-coding RNA, 625 nt
Organism: Panthera uncia (snow leopard)
Lineage: Eukaryota; Metazoa; Chordata; Mammalia; Carnivora; Felidae
Exons: 2
Source: RefSeq, a predicted model, not a curated record
CCCGGACCGCACCUGCGCGCCCGCCCGCGGGGCACGCCGGGAAGUGGAGUCCCCGCCCCCGGCCCGCCGAGCGCGCAGGCGCGACCGCGGGGAGGGAGGGGGACCGAGCGCGCAGGCGCCUUGGAGCUUUCGACCCCCGGGAGGCCGCCGCCGCCCCUCUCUCGGGCUAGCACCCCGGACACCUGUGCGCGGGGAGGCGGGCAGGGUUGGGCUGCGUCGUCCCGGCACGGGCCGCUGAGCUUUUGGGGUCUUUUUUAUGACGUCCCAGCACGGGGUGGGGCCGGGGGCGGGCCGGGGCGGGGUCCUUUGGCCCGGGAAGGGAGGACGGAGGCGGAUUCCCUUCUCCGGCGGUUCUGAGCGAGCGGAAAGGGCGGCCCGGCCGGCAGUGGUUGCCCAUGGCUGCAUGAUAAAUGACCCUAAAGCUUCAUGGCAAACACGGUGAUCUGUCUCGCUCGUGAAUCUGCGCAGUCGGUGCUGCCAGUCGCCUGCUGUCCCAACUCGCGGCUGCUGAGUGAACCGGUGAGCCCGGGGCGGGGGGCAUGGGACCUGGCACCUUUUGUGACCUAGCCGUGGAGAUCCUGUAGUCUUACAAAAGCCACCCAAAUUCAGUGAAAGGGAAUGCGGA